GCCAAUUUAGCGACGUUGUCGUUAUAUUUAGCAAGUAUUCAGACCCCUCUAGCGACACAUUUUCAAAAAAGCGACUAGAGACAAAUCUAGCGACUUUUCCUGGUGUUAUUGGAGACUUUUGGAGACUUUGACGUGAAAGCACGCAUCGUUCUUACUCUUCUCAACGUGCAGCGUGUGCUGCCGGGCCCCACCCCGUCCCGGUCCCUUUCCUUACUGAGGAGUUGGCAACACACCAAGUGCCUGAGCAAAGUGAAAGUGAAAGUUGUGUCUCAGUAUAGGACUGAGGUGUCGAUUGUUCUGUAAAAACGUGGAGAUAUGCACAUAUAGUGAUUAUUAGAGUGGUUAUGGAUUUAAAUCAACUAUUUUGAAUGUGAAGUGGAGGACGUGAAGACCAGUAAAGUUAAAAUGGCAGAGUCCAGAGUUCAUAAUCAGUUUAAACUCACCUCAGAAGACUAUGUGGAGGCUGAUGUUGGUGAAGAGGUCACCCUCCCCUGUCACCUCUCACCUGACACCAGUGCUGUUGCCACGACGAUCAGGUGGUUUAAGGAGACAGAGUGUAUUUACCUGUAUAAGAAUGGCCAGGUGACAGAGAGGAGUGACUAUGAGGGCAGAGUGAGUCUGAUCACCCAGGAGCUGGAGAGAGGCAACGUGUCUCUGAGGCUGAGAGACUUCAGGUGGUCAGAUAGUGGAGUCUACAUCUGUCAGGUCAUCCAUGGAGAACAGAAGGUGGAGGCUGCAGUGGGUUUAUGGGACAGAGAAGGUAAGUGUUCUAGAACUCCAGUAAUGUUUCUAAACACCUAAACAACAACAAUAACAACCAGUCUCUUUCCCUGUACAGAACACUUGUACUUUCUCAUGUAGGUAGGAGUUCAUAGUAGGAGUUACAGAUGAAUAGACGAGAUUCAUUCUGAAUAUCAACUAGUUACAAUGCAUAUUACCAUCACUCUGAGCUUUGAGCUGGUCCUAAAGCAUUACAACCAUUCCAACAUUACUGUCACGUCCCUUGAUUGUCAUUAGUAAUGAAUGUGAUGACCAGUCAUAUCAAUAUGUUGUAUGGUAUUUGGUUGAAUAAUGUAAUGUGACUGAAAUUGGAUUGAAUGUAGCUGUAAUAACUCAUACAUUUUGUUAUACAUUAUCAAUAGUCAUUAUUAUCCAUCUUGGAUAAUGGAUGAUCAGGAUCAAUACCAUAAACCUCCCACAAUAUAUCUGCUAUAGAGGUCAAUAUUUCACAUAGUCCUCCCACUAUAUAUCUGCCAUAGAGGUCAAUAUUUCACAUAGUCCUCCCACUAUAUAUCUGCCAUAGAGGUCAAUAUUUCACAUAGUCCUCCCACUAUAUAUCUGCCAUAGAGGUCAAUAUUUCACAUAGUCCUCCCACAAUAUAUCUGUCAUAGAGGUCAAUAUUUCACAUAGUCCUCCCACAAUAUAUCUGCCAUUGAGGUCAACAUUUCACAUAGUCCUCCCACUAUAUAUCUGCUAUAGAGGUCAAUAUUUCACAUAGUCCUCCCACAAUAUAUCUGGCAUUGAGGUCAAUAUUUCACAUAGUCCUCCCCCUGUAUAUCUGCUAUAGAGUUCAAUAUUUCACAUAGCCCUCCCACAAUAUAUCUGCCAUAGAGGUCAAUAUUUCACAUAGUCCUCCCACUAUAUAUCUGCAAUAGAGGCCAAUAUUUCACAUAGUUCUUCCACAAUAUAUCUGCUAUAGAUGUCAACAUUUCACAUAGUCCUCCCACUAUAUAUCUGCUAUAGAGGUCAACAUUUCACACUCCAAAAUGAACAUGGAAUCAGCUUGAAUUCAGUUUGAUGUCCCAGUAUGAAUCAUUCUGUGAUGUUUAGACUGUUCCAAUAGCAGCACUGCUUACAUCCCUUUCCCUAGAUGUACAUUAGUAAUGAAUGUGAUGACCAGUCAUAUCAAUAUGAUGUGUGGUAUUUCAUUAAAUUAUGUAAUGAGACAGAAAUUCAAUGAACAAUAAUAACUAAUGCAUUCUGUUUUACAUGAUCAUUAUUCAUGACUCUCCAUCUUGGAUAAUGGAUGAUCAGUACAACGUGAGUAAUUACUUAUUUGUCUGUUUUGUUUAUUGACAACCAAUAACACAAGACAAAGAACGGACCAGAGUGUUAAUCUGAUACUAUAAAAACUACAGGCCUUGUGAACAGCAGUGUGUCUUCUUCAAGGCUACAAAUUAAAUCAGUUUCUUUACAUUUAUCAAUACUCUCCCCAAAUGUUCUCAAGGUAGGUUGGAUUAAUAUGUAUAGAUUUUCUUCAAAUUAUCCAGACUUUUCAUAUCAUAGAUCUCCCACAAUAUAUCUACCAUAGAGGUCAAUAUUUCACAUAGUCCUCCCAUUAUAUAUCUGCUAUAGAGGUCAACAUUUCACAUAGUCCUCCCACUAUACAUCUGCUAUAGAGGUCAAUAUUUCACACUCCAAAGUUGUUAAGAGAAUUCUGUUCUCAAUGUUCAUAAACUGACCUUCAAUUAACUUACUCGGUCUGUUUCCAAGAAUUUGUAAGGUUCUUGUUGAAAUGAAACAGACAGAGGCCAGUCUACAAUAGUCAGCAACGUUUAUUUACGAGAGCUCUACUGAGUUGUACAAAACCAUUUAUUUUAUACUUGGCUUCUUAAUCACAUACAUACACACACAACAUUAGGUAUCUAACGCACACCCCGUCCUGCUCCCCAGCUGAGAGAGAUUAGGGAAGGCCACGAAAAACACUCCCCAUCCUCCCUCAAGAUAGGGGGGCCCUGGGAAGUACGUCCUUUCCUUUCCACCAUCUCCCAGAGGCCCCAUAUCCAAGGUCUGCAUGACAAUUCUGCUAAGACAGUCUGUGUUUGAGACACCCACACACCACAUUAUCUAUAUUGUUUUACUCUAAUUCUGACUAGAAUUACACAUUUAUUGAUUGUAAUUUUAUACAUUCUAAUCAAUUCCAUGAAAUCAUACAGGGGAAAGGUGGAAUACUGUUAAUUAUAAUCCUGUGUUAAAUGUAUACAUCAUUUAGUCAUUAUUCAUCAAAUUCACAACCAAAAUGAACAUGGAAUCAGCUUGAAUUCAGUUUGAUGUCCCAGUAUGAAUCAUUCUGUGAUGUUUAGACUGUUCCAAUAGUAGCACUGCUUACAUCCCUUUCCCUAGAUGUACAUUAGUAAUGAAUGUGAUGACCAGUCAUAUCAAUAUGAUGUGUGGUAUUUGAUUGAAUAAUGUAAUCUGACUGAAAUUGGAUUGAAUGUAGCUGUAAUAACUCGUACAUUUUGUUAUACAUUAUCAAUAUUCAUUAUUAUCCAUCUUGGAUAAUGGAUGAUCAGAUCAAUACCAUAAACCUCCCACAAUAUAUCUGUCAUAGAGGUCAAUAUUUCACAUAGUCCUCCCACAAUAUAUCUGCCAUAGAGGUCAAUAUUUCACAUAGUCCUCCCACUAUAUAUCUGCCAUAGAGGUCAAUAUUUCACAUAGUCCUCCCACUAUAUAUCUGCUAUAGAGGUCAAUAUUUCACAUAGUCCUCCCACAAUAUAUCUGCCAUAGAGGUCAAUAUUUCACAUAGACCUCCCACAAUUUAUCUGCUAUAGAGGUCAAUAUUUCACAUAGUCCUCCCACAAUAUAUCUGCCAUAGAGGUCAAUAUUUCACAUAGUCCUCCCACAAUAUAUCUGCCAUAGAGGUCAAUAUUUCACAUAGUCCUCCCAUUAUAUAUCUGCCAUAGAGGUCAAUAUUUCACAUAGUCCUCCCAUUAUAUAUCUGCUAUAGAUGUCAAUAUUUCACAUAGUCCUCCCACAAUAUAUCUGCCAUAGAGGUCAAUAUUUCACAUAGUCCUCCCACAAUAUAUCUGCCAUAGAGGUCAAUAUUUCACAUAGUCCUCCCAUUAUAUAUCUGCCAUAGAGGUCAAUAUUUCACAUAGUCCUCCCAUUAUAUAUCUGCCAUAGAGGUCAAUAUUUCACAUAGUCCUCCCAUUAUAUAUCUGCUAUAGAGGUCAAUAUUUCACAUAGUCCUCCCACUAUAUAUCUGUCAUAGAGGUCAAUAUUUCACAUAGUCCUCCCACAAUUUAUCUGUCAUAGAGGUCAAUAUUUCACAUAGUCCUCCCACUAUAUAUCUACCAUAGAGGUCAAUAUUUCACAUAGUCCUCCCACUAUAUAUCUGCCAUAGAGGUCAAUAUUUCACAUAGUCCUCCCACUAUAUAUCUGCUAUAGAGGUCAACAUUUCACAUAGUCCUCCCAUUAUAUAUCUGCCAUGGAGGUCAACAUUUCACAUAGUCCUCCCACUAUAUAUCUGCUAUAGAGGUCAAUAUUUCACAUAGUCCUCCCACUAUAUAUUUGCUAUAGAGGUCAACAUUUCACAUAGUCCUCCCACUAUAUAUCUGCUAUAGAGGUCAACAUUUCACUCACCAAAAUGAAAAUAGAAUCAGCUUGAAUUCAGCUUGAUGUCUAAUUAUGAAGCAUUCAGUCAUUCUCAGACUGCUCACAUAGUAGUGCUGCUUACAUCCCUUUCCCUAGAUGUACAUUAGUAAUGAAUGUGAUGACCAGUCAUAUCAAUAUGAUGUGUGGUGUUUCAUUAAAUUAUGUAAUGAGACAGAAAUUCAAUUAACAAUAAUAACUAAUGCAUUCUGUUUUACAUGAUCAUUAUUCAUGACUCUCCAUCUUGGAUAAUGGAUGAUCAGUAUUGGAUGAGGGUGAGUAAUUACUUAUUUGUCUGUUUUGUUUAUUGACAACCAAUAACACAAGACAAAGAUCAGACCAGAGUGUUAAUCUGAUACUAUAAAAACUACAGGCCUUGUGAACAGCAGUGUGUCUUCUUCAAGGCUACAAAUUAAAUCAGUUUCUUUACAUUUAUCAAAACUCUCCCCAAAUGUUCUCAAGGUAGGUUGGAUUAAUAUGUAUAGAUUUUCUUCAAAUUAUCCAGACUUUUCAUAUCAUAGUUGUCCCACAAAAUAUCUGCUAUGGAGUUCAACAUUUCAGAGGCGUUGAGUGAAAAGCAGAAGACACAUCUCAGUUGAAAACAUUCAGUUGGACAACUGACUAGGUAUCCCCCUUUCCUUUCCCUUUCACAAUAUAUCUGCUAUAGAGGUCAAUAUUUCACAUAGUCCUCCCACUAUAUAUCUGUCAUAGAGGUCAAUAUUUCACAUAGUCCUCCCACUAUAUAUCUGCCAUGGAGGUCAAUUUUUCACAUAGUCCUCCCACUAUAUAUCUGUCAUAGAGGUCAACAUUUCACACUCCAAAAUGAACAUGGAAUCAGCUUGAAUUAAGUUUGAUGUCCCAGUAUGAAUCAUUCUGUGAUGUUUAGACUGUUCCAAUAGUAGCACUGCUUACAUCCCUUUCCCUAGAUGUACAUUAGUAAUGAAUGUGAUGAACAGUCAUUCCAAUAUGAUGUGUGGUAUUUCAUUAAAUUAUGUAAUGGGACAGAAAUUCAACGAACAGUAAUAACUAAUGCUUUCUGUUUCACAUGAUCAUUAUUCAUGACUCUCCAUCUUGGAUAAUGGAUGAUCAGAUUUCCGUGAGUAUUUACUUAUUUGUCUGUUUUGUUUAUUGACAACCAAUAACACAAGACAAAGAACAGACCAGAGUGUCAAUCUAAUACUAUAAAAACUACAGGCCUUGUGAACAGCAGUGUGUCUUCUUCAAGGCUACAAAUGAAAUCAGUUUCUUUACAUUUAUCAAAACUCUCCCCAAAUGUUCUCAAGGUAGGUUGGAUUAAGAUGUAUAGAUUUUCUUCAAAUUAUCCAGAAUUUUCAUAUCAUAGAUCUCCCACAAUAUAUCUGCGAUGGAGCUCAACAUUUCACAUAGUCCUCCCAUUAUAUAUCUGCUAUAGAGGUCAAUAUUUCACAUAGUCCUCCCACAAUAUAUCUGCUAUAGAUGUCAACAUUUCAGAGGGGUUGAGUGAAAAGCGGAAGACACAUCUCAGUUGAAAACAUUCAGUUGGACAACUGACUCUGUAUCCCCCUUUCCUUUCCCUUUCACAAUAUAUCUGCUAUAGAGGUCAAUAUUUCACAUAGUCCUCCCACUAUAUAUCUGCCAGAGAGGUCAAUAUUUCACAUAGUCCUCCCACAAUAUAUCUGGCAUUGAGGUCAAUAUUUCACAUAGUCCUCCCAUUAUAUAUCUGCCAUAGAGGUCGAUAUUUCACAUAGUCCUCCCACUAUAUAUCUGCUAUAGUGGUCAAUAUUUCACAUAGUCCUCCCAUUAUAUAUCUGCCAUAGAGGUCAAUAUUUCACAUAGUCCUCCCACAAUAUAUCUGGCAUUGAGGUCAAUAUUUCACAUAGUCCUCCCAUUAUAUAUCUGCCAGAGAGGUCAAUAUUUCACAUAGUCCUCCCACUAUAUAUCUGCUAUAGAGGUCAAUAUUUCACAUAGUCCUCCCAUUAUAUAUCUGCCAGAGAGGUCAAUAUUUCACAUAGUUCUCCCAUUAUAUAUCUGCUAUAGAGGUCAAUAUUUCACAUAGUCCUCCCACUAUAUAUCUGCCAGAGAGGUCAAUAUUUCACAUAGUGCUCCCAUUAUAUAUCUGCUAUAGAGGUCAAUAUUUCACAUAUUCCUCCCACUACAUAUCUCCUAUAGAGGUCAAUAUUUCACAUAGUCCUCCCACUAUAUAUCUGCUAUAGAGGUCAAUAUUUCACAUAGUCCUCCCACUAUAUAUCUGUCAUAGAGGUCAAUAUUUCACAUAGUCCUCCCACUAUAUAUCUGCUAUAGAGGUCAAUAUUUCACAUAGUCCUCCCACUAUAUAUCUGCUAUAGAGGUCAAUAUUUCACAUAGUCCUCCCACUAUAUAUCUGCCAGAGAGGUCAAUAUUUCACAUAGUGCUCCCAUUAUAUAUCUGCUAUAGAGGUCAACAUUUCACAUAGUCCUCCCACUAUAUAUCUGCCAGAGAGGUCAAUAUUUCACAUAGUCCUCCCAUUAUAUAUCUGCUAUAGAGGUCAAUAUUUCACAUAUUCCUCCCACUACAUAUCUCCUAUAGAGGUCAAUAUUUCACAUAGUCCUCCCACUAUAUAUCUGCUAUAGAGGUCAAUAUUUCACAUAGUCCUCCCACUAUAUAUCUGUCAUAGAGGUCAAUAUUUCACAUAGUCCUCCCACUAUAUAUCUGCUAUAGAGGUCAAUAUUUCACAUAGUCCUCCCACUAUAUAUCUGCUAUAGAGGUCAAUAUUUCACAUAGUCCUCCCACUAUAUAUCUGCUAUAGAUGUCAACAUUUCAC
Molecule: long non-coding RNA, 7150 nt
Organism: Oncorhynchus masou masou (cherry salmon)
Lineage: Eukaryota; Metazoa; Chordata; Actinopteri; Salmoniformes; Salmonidae
Exons: 4
Source: RefSeq, a predicted model, not a curated record